This is a long non-coding RNA of Gossypium arboreum, 800 nucleotides long. RefSeq lists it as uncharacterized. NCBI's taxonomy places the organism in Eukaryota, Viridiplantae, Streptophyta, Magnoliopsida, Malvales, Malvaceae. The transcript is spliced from 2 exons. The record is from RefSeq and is a predicted model, not a curated record.
GCCAUCACCAUUUUGAUAUCGUAUUGUGAAAGCCAAAUUUCGUCGGCCCGGGCCAAAACGAAAAAACCGAAAGAAAAAAUACAAACAGAAAAAAUAAUUAAAGUCCAAUAAUAAAAAACAACAACAGUCCAUUUACAAUAGCCCAAUUUUUCAAAAGCCCGAAAUAAAAAACCUAAUGGCCCGUCAGGCCCAAAACCUUUACCAUUUUCAGAAAAAAUAAAAACCCUAGCGCCGCACCCUAGUGCCGCCGCCGCUCCUAGCCUCGGCCACCAUCAACCGCUCCUCAAACAAACAAAGCAAUCGAAAUGCAAAAUCGAAAAAACUUCAAAGUGGCCGAAGGGUUCUUUGCCUUUUUGGUGAUUUUUUGGCCAGUUUCUAAAAAAACCGACCCUAAAUUCGAACUCAGGGAGCCGAAACGACCAAAAAGGAGGUUUCUUUUGUACCCACGGCGGAGACUUUAAGAUAUUUUACAGAAGCUGAAAUGGAGCUUGGGAAGUGCGAUGGUGUUGCAGUGAAGAAGGGCCUCUGUAAUGGAGUUUGGGGAGAGUGCGCUAGGAUGGGGAUGGUGCUGCCGUGAAGAAGAUGCAAGAAAGGGGAAAAUAUUUAUGGAUGGUGAGGAGUUUGAUCGGGUAGAAAGAGAUGAAAGAAAAAACUUGGAGAAAGAAGUUCAAACUAAUAUUUACUUUUAAUUUUUAUUUUUCGGUCAAAACGAAGAAGGAAUGCCACAUGGCAUUUUUUAUUCAUUAAAGAUUAAUUUUAGCGGAUUGGUUUGAUAUUAUUGUCAAUGAAAAAAAUGUAGA